Molecule: long non-coding RNA, 3918 nt
Organism: Anolis carolinensis (green anole)
Lineage: Eukaryota; Metazoa; Chordata; Lepidosauria; Squamata; Anolidae
Source: Ensembl
AUGUACAUGGAUGACCUGAAGCUGUAUGGGAAAAUGCAAACUGAAAUCCAGUCUCUGACCAACAUUGUCCGAAUUUUUAGUACUGAUAUCAGCAUGGAGUUUGGUUUGGACAAAUGUUCGACAGUGGCAUUGAAGAAGGGAAAAAUCAUUGAAAGUGAGGGCAUAAAUAUGCCUAAUGGCCAAACAAUAAAGUGUCACCAGCCAGAGGCCUAUAAAUAUCUGGGCAUAUUACAGCUGGACAACAUCAAACAUGAAAAUGUGAAGAUUGUGGUCAGCAAAGAAUACACACAAAGGGUCAGAAAAAUUCUCAAAAGCAAGCUCAAUGGAGGCAACACCAUCAAGGCCAUAAACACCUGGGCCAUACCUGUCAUAAGAUAUACUGCUGGCAUCAUAAACUGGACACAGGUGUUUAUGGCCUUGAUGGUGUUGCCUCCAUUGAGCUUGCUUUUGAGAAUUUUUUUGACCCAUUGUGUGUAUUCUUUGCUGACCACAGUUUUCACAUGUUCAUGUUUGAUGUUGUCCAGCUGUAAUAUUCCCAGAUAUUUAUAGGCCUCUGGCUGGUGACACUUGAUCGUUUGGCCAUUAGGCAUAUUUAUGCCCUCACUUUCAAUGAUUUUUCCCUUCUUCAAUGCCACUGUUGAACAUUUGUCCAAACCAAACUCCAUGCUGAGAUCAGUGCUAAAAAUUCAGACAGUGUUAGUCAGGGACUGGAUUUCAGUUUGCAUUUUCCCAUACAGCUUCAGGUCAUCCAUGUACAUCAGAUGUGAAAUUUUGUGAGAUUUCUUAGAUGUUUGAUAGCCGAAGUUUGUUUUUUGUAAGAUUGUUGACAGAGGGAUCAUGGCAAUAAUGAAAAGCAGAGGGGACAAUGAAUCUCCCUGGAAAAUUCCUCUUCUGAUGUUGACAAGUCCAUAGCUUUCAUUUCCAACAAACAGUUCAGUUUUCCAGUGCUCCAUCAUGUUUUCAAUGAAGGUGCCAACGUUUUUACAAAUCCCAGGCACUUGAUGAUCCAACUGUGUGGGAGUGAGUCAAAGGCCUUUUUGUAGUCAAUCCACGUCAUGUGAAGAUUAGCUUUUCAACUUUUACAGUUCUCCAGAAUCAUUUUGUCAAUUAAUAACUGGUCUUUUGUGACCCUGCUUUUCCAUUUGUUGCCUUUCUGUUCAUCUGGUAAGAUGUUUUUUUCUUCAAGAUAGUCUUGAAUUCUGUCAGCUAUGAUGCCAGUCAGUAGUUUAAACAUAGUGGGCAGACAUGUUAUUUUCCUGUAGUUUCCUGGUGCUGCUCCUUUUGCUGGAUCCUUUUGUAUCAGGUAUGUACUUCCAGUUGUUAGCCAUUCACUGAUACUUCCUUUCUGCAGCAUCUCAUUGAAUUGUUGGGCCAUUUUUCCAUGUAAGCUAAUCAGAUAUUUGAGCCAAAACCCAUGAAGUUGAUCACUACCAGGCGAUGUCCAAUUCUUGACUUUUUGCACUCAUUUGCUGAUCAUUUCAGUUGUUAUUUCCAUCUGUUCCAUUUUGUUCUGUGAGAAUUUUCCUUCAAACUCCUUUAUCCACCCAGCGUUUUUGUUGUAGUUCUUAUUAUUUUCCCAAAGCUCUUUCCAGAACUUCAUUGUUGCAGUUUUCUUUGGCUUUAUGGUUACUGUGUCUGUUGUUUGGUUCAGACUCUGGUAGAACCGUCUUUGGUCUGAUUGAAACAGUUGAUUUUGUCUGUACUGGAUGAUUCUGGCUUCAUAUAUUUCAAUUUUUCUGGCUGUUGCUCUAAUUUGUUCUAUUAUUAUUAUUAUUAUUAUUAUUAUUAUUAUUAUUAUUAUUAUUAUUAUUAUUUUGAAAUGAUCUAUGUGCAAAUGAACUCCUGCCUUCUAUAACAACUUCAUUCUCCCUCUGAACCAAUUCUACCAAGAAAAUCAUGUAAUAAGCUAGAUUUAGGAUCACCAUAAUUAAGGAAUAAAGUGAAGUUGCACGACAACAACAACAACGCCAGUAUCAACAGCUACAAAUGAAAUGUCUAUUUCAACUCUGAAACGUUUGAAAACAAACAUGGUUAGCAUGAAGGGACAAGAAAGACUGACUGGAUUUGCACUCUAGAGUGUCCACCGAAAUUUAUUGAUGGAGCAAGAUUUCUGUCAAAAUGUAUUGAUUCAGCUUUCAAGUGUUUCCAACAGGCAUUGUAGUUUUCUUUAAUAACCACUAAAUUACCAAUUAAGAGUCAACUUUAGAUAUUUUUUGAGACUUGAAACUUUGUAGCUAAAAUAGAAAUUUGAUUUAAAUAAGUCUUUACAAAAGAUAUAGAAUGUGUCAUAGAAUUUACAUUAUUUUGUGUUAUGGACCUACUCUUCAUAAUUUGUUAAAAGAUAAAAAUUGUUUCAAACCCCCCCCCCCUUUUUUUUUUCUGGCUACGGGUCUUUUACCCCCAACAUAUGUCUUGGUUACUUAACCAAAUGCUUCACCUGAGAGAUCCACAUCUCCAAGGAAUGAAAAAGAAAAUCUGGGUUAAAGUAAAUAUGGGAAUACUUUCAUGCUCCUGUUUAGGAAUAUGGAGAAAAAGGAGAGGAAGGACAUAGAUGGUGAGUUGUUGCUGAGCCAAGGGGAAAUCAGACUUCCUUAUUUAUGCUACAGUAUUGAUGAGAGUGCUGGCAGGUCUUCUGUCUCUUCCAAUACAUUAAUAUUAUUUAUCAGGCAAAUGUCAGUUUUGAUGGGGCAAUGUUUUUUAUGAUGAAGCCUUUUGUAUGAGAUUAGCCAUCAUCUCUGCAAUGAGCUGACACCAGGUAGAGCUGCUUAACUACCCAGACCAGGCAAAUGGCCUCACAGCAGACAUAUAGUCUACUCUGCCACCUAUCAAAUGUUGUGACCUGGGACAAUAUUAGGUCAGCAGUGGUUGUGGGAAUUUGGCUCGUAGGCAUCAUGUCCUAGGUGUCUAUGUCAAUUUCAACAUGAACGGUGAAUUGUAAGGACAAUCAUUCCAUUCAGAACUGAUCCAGAAUGAAGCAUAUCAAAGCAUGGAAAUAUGGUGGACAGUUACCUCCUAAAGGUAGGUUGCCAGCUAUCUUCUAAAGGACCCCAAUCAAUUAUGCUAGGAUAUUUUCCAGUAUUGCUUCAUUGUUACCCAACUCUGAAAAUUACCCAGUAUUUGAGAGAGAGGUUUAAGUUUGGGUAUCAUAUCCCCUUUCAGGAAGUUAAAUAGAUUUUGUAGACUACUAAUUUUCAUUCUGUUGUUGGCAUGGAAUAUACAGUUAAAAACAAAACUCUGGAGGAGAUACAUGACAGGAAGGUAGUUGACAUAUUUUCUUAUCCCACCAUAGUAUCAAAUCCCAGGAGCGGAGUGAGCGGCCGCUGUUGCUCCAGCUUCUGCCAGCCUAGAAGUUCGAAAACAUGCCAAUGUGAGUAGAUCAAUAGGUACUGCUCCGGCAGGAAGGUAACAGCGCUCCAUGCAGUCAUGCCGGCCACAUGACCUUGGAGGUGUCUACGGACAACGCUGGCUCUUCGGCUUAGAAAUGGAGAUGAGCACCAACCCCCAGAGUCAGACAUGACUAGACUUAACGUCAGGGGAAACCUCCUUCAAUAUUUGUCCUCCAGAUCGCACCGCCACUUUAUGACUCUGUCCUCUGUGGUUUUUACUCCUACUUCCUUUCUCACCUCGAGUUUUAAUCUAGUUUUCAUGUGGCCCGCCCUUGGUUUUAUUGUUCUUUUGAUCUUGUUUAAUGUAGUGUAUAUUUUCUUUUAUUGUGUUGUUUAAUGUGCUAUGAUUUGUUGUUCUAUUAUAUUUUGUUAUAUUGUAUUGUUCUGGGCAUGGCCCCAUGUAAGCCGCCCCAAGUCCCCGUUGGGGAGAUGGUGGCGGGGUAUAAAUAAAGAUUAUUAUUAUUAUUAUUAUUAUUAUUAUUAUUAUUAUUACCUUUACUUACCAUAGUAAGCUUGAAAAUUUAGUCAUUUU